Molecule: ribosomal RNA, 507 nt
Filed under: Bacillus sp. (in: firmicutes)
Lineage: Bacteria; Bacillati; Bacillota; Bacilli; Caryophanales; Bacillaceae
Description: bacterial SSU rRNA
Rfam family: Bacterial small subunit ribosomal RNA
Source: RNAcentral
CAGGAUGAACGCUGGCGGCGUGCCUAAUACAUGCAAGUCGAGCGAAUGGAUUAAGAGCUUGCUCUUAUGAAGUUAGCGGCGGACGGGUGAGUAACACGUGGGUAACCUGCCCAUAAGACUGGGAUAACUCCGGGAAACCGGGGCUAAUACCGGAUAACAUUUUGAACNGCAUGGUUCGAAAUUGAAAGGCGGCUUCGGCUGUCACUUAUGGAUGGACCCGCGUCGCAUUAGCUAGUUGGUGAGGUAACGGCUCACCAAGGCAACGAUGCGUAGCCGACCUGAGAGGGUGAUCGGCCACACUGGGACUGAGACACGGCCCAGACUCCUACGGGAGGCAGCAGUAGGGAAUCUUCCGCAAUGGACGAAAGUCUGACGGAGCAACGCCGCGUGAGUGAUGAAGGCUUUCGGGUCGUAAAACUCUGUUGUUAGGGAAGAACAAGUGCUAGUUGAAUAAGCUGGCACCUUGACGGUACCUAACCAGAAAGCCACGGCUAACUACGUGCCAGC